GACGAACGCUGGCGGCGUGCUUAACACAUGCAAGUCGAACGGUGAAGCUCCAGCUUGCUGGAGUGGAUCAGUGGCGAACGGGUGAGUAACACGUGAGCAACCUGCCCCUGACCCUGGAAUAAGCGCUGGAAACGGCGUCUAAUACUGGAUACGAGAAGGGUCCGCAUGGGCACUUUCUGGAAAGUUUUUCGGUUGGGGAUGGGCUCGCGGCCUAUCAGCUUGUUGGUGAGGUAAUGGCUCACCAAGGCGACGACGGGUAGCCGGCCUGAGAGGGCGACCGGCCACACUGGGACUGAGACACGGCCCAGACUCCUACGGGAGGCAGCAGUGGGGAAUAUUGCACAAUGGGCGAAAGCCUGAUGCAGCGACGCCGCGUGAGGGAUGACGGCCUUCGGGUUGUAAACCUCUUUCAGCAGGGAAGAAGCGAAAGUGACGGUACCUGCAGAAGAAGCACCGGCUAACUACGUG
RNAcentral lists this ribosomal RNA (468 nucleotides) under uncultured bacterium. RNAcentral describes it as "partial 16S ribosomal RNA". It matches the Rfam family "Bacterial small subunit ribosomal RNA", at positions 28 to 507 of the family's 1533-position model. The record is from RNAcentral.